GAUGAACGCUGGCGGCGUGCCUAAUACAUGCAAGUCGAGCGAACAGACGAGGAGCUUGCUCCUCUGACGUUAGCGGCGGACGGGUGAGUAACACGUGGAUAACCUACCUAUAAGACUGGGAUAACUUCGGGAAACCGGAGCUAAUACCGGAUAAUAUAUUGAACCGCAUGGUUCAAUAGUGAAAGACGGUUUUGCUGUCACUUAUAGAUGGAUCCGCGCCGCAUUAGCUAGUUGGUAAGGUAACGGCUUACCAAGGCAGCGAUGCGUAGCCGACCUGAGAGGGUGAUCGGCCACACUGGAACUGAGACACGGUCCAGACGCCUACGGGAGGCAGCAGUAGGGAAUCUUCCGCAAUGGGCGAAAGCCUGACGGAGCAACGCCGCGUGAGUGAUGAAGGUCUUCGGAUCGUAAAACGCUGUUAUUAGGGAAGAACAAAUGUGUAAGUAACUAUGCACGUCUUGACGGUACCAAUCAGAAAGCCACGGCUAACUACGUG
This 496-nucleotide ribosomal RNA is filed under the name uncultured bacterium. RNAcentral's name for it is "partial 16S ribosomal RNA". It matches the Rfam family "Bacterial small subunit ribosomal RNA", at positions 28 to 507 of the family's 1533-position model. The record is from RNAcentral.